UUUCACUUUAAGCAGCUUAUGAGUGUCUUCUCUCUGUUUAUUUUCUACAAUGGCCUCUUCCAUUAUUCUCUCUAUGUUUUCUUACUUGUUAACUAUCUCAUUCCCUUUGCAAGUUGAACCCAAAAAACCCGACUCGAAAUCUCAGUCCCAAAUCAUUGUCAUGGGCAUGGUAUAUUGUGACUUCUGCUCCAACAACACCUUCUCCAAGCACAGCUACUUCUUGCCGGGUAAGGAAGAUUGAACAGUACUCGUACUUUACCGUAUAAUAGUUUUAUUAUAAAAUCAUAACUCUUUGUCAUUUUUUAUUGGAUCUAACCAGGAGUAGAAGUUAGAAUAGAUUGCAUAUUCAUAGCAAUUUCUUCAAGAACAACAGAACGGAUAUCAUUUUCGGUGAACAGAACUACAAAUAAGUUUGGAAUAUACAUAUUUGAAGUGCCUAGUGUUGAUGGUGUUCAAUGUGCCAGAGACAAAGCAGUUGGGAAUUCCUGCAGAGCCAGCUUAACAGGGAUAAGACCAUCUUCUUCUUCCUGUAAUAUUCCAGGAUUUAGGACUACAUCGGAUGAAAUUUCAAUCAAAUCCAAACGAGAAAACACUUGCAUUUAUAGUCUCAGUCCAUUGAGUUACAGACCAUCCAAGAGAGAGAUUGACUUGUGUGGAAAAUAAAGAACCAACAUUCUUGGAUCUACACGUCUUGUUCUCAUCUCUUUGAGGCAAUCAUUGAGACAUCUACAGGAUACUUGAACAAUAUUAAAGAAGUUAAAUAUUCUUGUUUGCUGUCUUGUAUGGUGGUGUCUAGUACAUCGUUCUAUGUUUCUCAAGAAUUUAUGUAAUCUGUAUUUGGUUUUUGGCAUAUGGUUCAUUUAUAUGUACCUCAAGAAAGAUUAUAAGGGUUUUAAUUAGGCAAAAUGUAUGCAGAUAAUUUUGGAUGCUAAAAAU
This 936-nucleotide long non-coding RNA is filed under the name Olea europaea subsp. europaea. Lineage: Eukaryota; Viridiplantae; Streptophyta; Magnoliopsida; Lamiales; Oleaceae. The record is from RNAcentral.